UACGUAGGCAGCGAGCGUUGUUCGGAGUUACUGGGCGUAAAGGGUGUGUAGGCGGUUCUCUAAGUUUGGUGUGAAAUCUCCCGGCUCAACCGGGAGGGUGCGCCGAAAACUGGGGGACUCGAGUGCGGGAGGGGAGAGUAGAAUUCCUGGUGUAGCGGUGAAAUGCGUAGAUAUCAGGAGGAAUACCGGUGGUGUAGACGGCUCUCUGGACCGCCACUGACGCUGAGACACGAAAGCGUGGGUAGCAAACAGG
RNAcentral lists this ribosomal RNA (253 nucleotides) under uncultured bacterium. Its description in RNAcentral is "partial 16S ribosomal RNA". It matches the Rfam family "Bacterial small subunit ribosomal RNA", at positions 524 to 776 of the family's 1533-position model. The record is from RNAcentral.